RNAcentral lists this ribosomal RNA (780 nucleotides) under uncultured Neocallimastigales. RNAcentral describes it as "partial large subunit ribosomal RNA". It matches the Rfam family "Eukaryotic large subunit ribosomal RNA", at positions 23 to 622 of the family's 3401-position model. The record is from RNAcentral. Lineage: Eukaryota; Fungi; Neocallimastigomycota; Neocallimastigomycetes; Neocallimastigales.
ACACGCAUGACACACUGCAUAUCAAUAAGCGGAGGAAAAGAAACUAACUAGGAUUCCCUCAGUAACGGCGAGUGAAGCGGGAAGAGCUCAAAUUUGAAAUCUUAAAGGGUUUCCCUUUACGAAUUGUAGUUUAAAGAAGUGUUUUCUGUUGGAGUUUUGGUAAAAGUUCUUUGGAAUAGGACAUCAUAGAGGGUGAGAAUCCCGUAUUUGACCUAUUAUUUCCUAGCUUUGUGAUACACUUUCGAAGAGUCGGAUUGUUUGGGAAUGCAGUCCAAAAUGGGUAGGUAAAUUUCAUCUAAAGCUAAAUACUGGCGAGAGACCGAUAGCGAACAAGUACCGUGAGGGAAAGAUGAAAAGAACUUUGAAAAGAGAGUUAAACAGUACGUGAAAUUGUCAAAAGGGAAGCGUUUGACACCAGUGUUGUUUUCUCGAAAAUCAAUUAAAAAAGAUUGGAUUUUGUGUUGUAUUGACUUCAUCAGCUUUCUGCACUCUUUUCUUGUCUUUUUUAAUGCACUUUUCGUUUAACAAGUCAACAUCAGUUUCUUUUGUUGUAAAAGGGUCAUUGGAAGGUGGCUUUCAUUUCGGUAGAAAGUGUUUAUAGCCUUUGAUCCUCCUGCAAUCGGAGAGAUUGAGGUCUGCAGCGUAGAUCCUUCGGGGUUAGAUACAUUUGUGCUAAGUUAUAGUUUUUCAUAGACAACCUGUUGACUAUGAUUAAUCAUGUAGCUUACUCGCUUAUGCUAUUUUACCUACGCUUAGGAUGUUGAAGACUCUACAGAGAUA